CGGAGAGGGCGCAUGAGAAACGGCUACCACUUCUAAGGAAGGCAGCAGGCGCGCAAAUUACCCAAUCCUGACUCAGGGAGGUAGUGACAAGAAAUAACAAUAAACCGGCUUAUGCCGGUUUAAUUGGAAUGAGUACAAUUUAAAUAUCUUAACGAGGAACAAUUGGAGGGCAAGUCUGGUGCCAGCAGCCGCGGUAAUUCCAGCUCCAAUAGCGUAUACUAAAGUUGUUGCAGUUAAAAAGCUCGUAGUUGGAUUUCUGCGGGGACGGAGCGGCCGGACGCAACUUGCGUCUCGAGCUAGCGCUUUCCCCGCAUCCUGCCGCGAACCGUGCUACCAUUAGUUUGGUGGCGCUGGGGAUCGGCUCGAUUACUUUGAGAAAAAUAGAGUGUUCAAAGCAGGCCACACGCCUUGAAUAAGUUAGCAUGGAAUAAUGACUAAGGACUUCGGUUCUAUUUUGUUGGUGUUCGGGACUGAAGUAAUGAUUGAUAGGGACAGUUGGGGCGGUCUGUAUUCCAAAGCGAGAGGUAAAAUUCUUAGACCUUCGGAAGACAAACAGCUGCGAAAGCGUUCCGCAAGGAUGUUCCCUUUGAUCAAGAACGAAAGUUGGGGGAUCGAAGACGAUCAGAUACCGUCGUAGUCUCAACUAUAAACUAUACCGGCUAGGGAUCGGCCAACGUUUAAUUAUUCGACUUGGUCGGCACCUUAUGAGAAAUCAAAGCAUCUGGGUUCCGGGGGGAGUAUGGUCGCAAGGCUGAAACUUAAAGGAAUUGACGGAGGGGCACCACCAGCCGUGGAGCCUGUGGCUUAAUUUGACUCAACACGGGAAGACUUACCAGGUCCAGACAUAGGAAGGAUUGACAGAUUGAUAGCUCUUUCUUGAUUCUGUGGGUGGUGGUGCAUGGCCGUUUUUAGUUGGUGGAGUGAUUUGUCUGCUUAAUUGCGUUAACGAACGAGACCCCAGCCUGCUAAAUAGCGCGGCUGAGCUUUGCUCGGUGCGAGCUUCUUAGAGGGACCAUGAUGCGCGAUAGCACAAGGAAGUUUGGGGCAACAACAGGUCUGUGAUGCCCUUAGAUGUUCUGGGCCGCACACGGGCUACACUGGCGCCUGCAACGAGCAUAUCAGCUGGCCCGAGAGGGUCUUGGCUAAUCUUUUGAACCGGCGCCGUGCUUGGGAUUGACCUUUGCAAUUGUUGGUCAUGCAACGAGGAAUGCCUUGUAAACGCGAGUCAUCAGCUCGCAUUGAAUACGUCCCUGCCCUUUGUACACACCGCCCGUCGCUCCUACCGAUGAAUGUUCCGAUGAAAUUUUCGGAGAGCGCCAGAGAACGGGGCUCCGCCUUGCAGAUCUGGAGGCUCAAAGUCACUUAAAUCUGAACAUUUCGAGGAAGGAGAAGUCGUAACAAGGUAACC
Molecule: ribosomal RNA, 1408 nt
Filed under: uncultured Rhizaria
Lineage: Eukaryota
Description: SSU rRNA
Rfam family: Eukaryotic small subunit ribosomal RNA
Source: RNAcentral